CCUGGGCCAAAGCAGUGGCGUGUGCCUGUAGUCCCAGCUACUCGGGAGGCUGAGGCAGGAGGAUUGCUUGAGCCCAAGAGUUCCGGGCUGUAGUGCGCUAUGCCAUUUGGGUGUCCGCACUAAGUUCGGCAUAGAUAUGGUGACCUCCCAGGAGCAGGAGACCACCAGGUUGCCUAAGGAGGGGUGAACUGGCCCAGGCUGGAAACGGAGCAGGUCAUCAUGAGAGAGGGAACGUACUCUUGCCAACGGAGAGCCACUUCUCAGGGCCGGGAUGACAACACCAGGCA
This 287-nucleotide signal recognition particle RNA is filed under the name Saimiri boliviensis boliviensis (Bolivian squirrel monkey). RNAcentral describes it as "Metazoan signal recognition particle RNA (ENSSBOG00000012381.1)". It matches the Rfam family "Metazoan signal recognition particle RNA". Rfam says of the family: The signal recognition particle (SRP) is a universally conserved ribonucleoprotein. It is involved in the co-translational targeting of proteins to membranes. The record is from RNAcentral. Lineage: Eukaryota; Metazoa; Chordata; Mammalia; Primates; Cebidae.